AGUGAACGCUGGCGGUAGGCCUAACACAUGCAAGUCGAACGGCAGCACAGUAAGAGCUUGCUCUUACGGGUGGCGAGUGGCGGACGGGUGAGGAAUACAUCGGAAUCUACUUUUUCGUGGGGGAUAACGUAGGGAAACUUACGCUAAUACCGCAUACGACCUACGGGUGAAAGCAGGGGAUCUUCGGACCUUGCGCGAUUGAAUGAGCCGAUGUCGGAUUAGCUAGUUGGCGGGGUAAAGGCUCACCAAGGCGACGAUCCGUAGCUGGUCUGAGAGGAUGAUCGGCCACACUGGAACUGAGACACGGUCCAGACUCCUACGGGAGGCAGCAGUGGGGAAUAUUGGACAAUGGGCGCAAGCCUGAUCCAGCCAUACCGCGUGGGUGAAGAAGGCCUUCGGGUUGUAAAGCCCUUUUGUUGGGAAAGAAAAGCAGCAGGUUAAUACCCCGCUGUUCUGACGGUACCCAAAGAAUAAGCACCGGCUAACUUCGUG
RNAcentral lists this ribosomal RNA (492 nucleotides) under uncultured bacterium. RNAcentral describes it as "partial 16S ribosomal RNA". It matches the Rfam family "Bacterial small subunit ribosomal RNA", at positions 29 to 507 of the family's 1533-position model. The record is from RNAcentral.